This 22-nucleotide microRNA is filed under the name Eisenia fetida (common brandling worm). RNAcentral describes it as "Efe-Mir-2000-P1_3p (mature (guide))". Lineage: Eukaryota; Metazoa; Annelida; Clitellata; Crassiclitellata; Lumbricidae. The record is from RNAcentral.
AAAGUCUUCUAUACUUUUAGUC